Molecule: ribosomal RNA, 643 nt
Filed under: Ostreopsis ovata
Lineage: Eukaryota; Dinophyceae; Peridiniales; Ostreopsidaceae
Description: eukaryotic LSU rRNA
Rfam family: Eukaryotic large subunit ribosomal RNA
Source: RNAcentral
AGCAGAGGAACCCCAUCAAACUUGGAUUUUGUAAGUAGUUGCGAAUGAACACAAAUUUGAUCACUUUGGCAAUCUGUACACAUUGCUGUGUAACAAUUUGUAUACGUUGGCACAGUGCUAUCAAAGCUGCAUGCAAGUGUUUUUUGAAAGGAUACAACAUGGGAUGUGAUAUUCAUGUGUGUGUGCCUGCUUUGUCCACAGCCUGUGCUGUAUGAAUCACAUUUCUUGCAACUGAAAUGCUAAUGGCAUGGUAAAGUUCAUGUGACAUGACACAAGCUUGAGAUUCAUGAUGUGCAAGUACCAUGAGGGAAAUGUGAAAAGGACUUUGGAAAGAGAAUUAAAUAAAGCCUGCAUUUGCUGACAAUGAAAGCAAGUGUGGAUGUUCAUGUAAUUGUUACUGCAUCAAUCAAUGUUCAUCUUGGUUACUGCAUGCUUUAUAUUACAGCUCAGAACAUGAAGUGUGUGUAACAGCUCUGCUUUGAUUUUUCCCACAUGGGAUCAGUUGAAACAUUGUGAGAACACUCUUCAGUUUCCUUAUGUACCCACCAGCUUUGUCCACUCGCGUGUUGGCACACAUGUAAUGAUGAUGUGUUUAUGCAAGAUACUUCUGUGCUCAACAACAUGUUGUGUCAAUCCUCACUUG